UACAGAGGUCUCAAGCGUUGUUCGGAUUCAUUGGGCGUAAAGGGUGCGUAGGCGGGUCUUUAAGUCAGGGGUGAAAUCCUGGAGCUCAACUCCAGAACUGCCUUUGAUACUGAAGAUCUUGAGUCCGGGAGAGGUGAGUGGAACUGCGAGUGUAGAGGUGAAAUUCGUAGAUAUUCGCAAGAACACCAGUGGCGAAGGCGGCUCACUGGCCCGGUACUGACGCUGAGGCACGAAAGCGUGGGGAGCAAACAGG
Molecule: ribosomal RNA, 253 nt
Filed under: uncultured bacterium
Lineage: Bacteria
Description: partial 16S ribosomal RNA
Rfam family: Bacterial small subunit ribosomal RNA
Source: RNAcentral